UCCGGGAGUCAGACUGCGAGUGCUAAGAUCCGUAGUCAAAAGGGAAACAGCCCAGACCAACAGCUAAGGUCCCAAAGACAGGCUAAGUGGAAAAGGAUGUGGGGUUGCACAGACAACCAGGAUGUUGCUUAGAAGCAGCCACCAUUUAAAGAGUGCGUAAUAGCUCACUGGUCAAGUGGCCCUGCGCCGAAAAUGAAACGGGGCUAAGCCUGGCACCGAAGCUUUGGAUUGACGUAAGUCAGUGGUAGGGGAGCGUUCCUGUUGCGUAGAAGCAGUACCGAAAGGAGCUGUGGAGUGGCAGGAAGUGAGAAUGCCGGUAUGAGUAAGCGAAAAGGCAGGUGAGAAUCCUGCCCGCCGAAAACCUAAGGAUUUCUGGGGAAGGUUCGUCCGCCCAGAGUAAGCCGGGACCUAAGCCGAGGCCGYAAGGCGUAGGYGAUGGACAAUCGGUUGARAAUCCGAUGCCACCAACGACCGUUUGAGGAUGGAGUGACGCAGGAGGGUACGUUUAGCCAGCGGCUGGAAAAGCUGGUCCAAGCCCGUAGGGUGUGUGGUAGGCAAAUCCGCCACACAAAAAGCCUGAGAGGUGAAGGGGAGCGAAAACAAGUAGCGAAGAAACGGAUCCCAAACUGCCAAGAAAAACUUCUAACGAGGUUAGUUGGUGCCCGUACCGCAAACCGACACAGGUAGGUGGGGUGAAAAUCCYAAGGCGCGCGAGAGAACCCUCGUUAAGGAACUCGGCAAAAUGACCCCGUAACUUCGGGAGAAGGGGUGCCUCGGUAUUGUGAAAGAUGAACAUCUGGAGCAAGAAGAGGCCGCAGAGAAAAGGCCCAAGCGACUGUUUACCAAAAACACAGGUCCCUGCUAAAGCGAAAGCUGACGUAUAGGGCUGACGCCUGCCCGGUGCUGGAAGGUUAAGGGGAAGAGUUAGCGCAAGCGAAGCUUUAAACCGAAGCCCCAGUAAACGGCGGCCGUAACUAUAACGGUCCUAAGGUAGCGAAAUUCCUUGUCAGGUAAGUUCUGACCCGCACGAAAGGCGUAACGAUUUGGCACUGUCUCAACGAGGGGCUCGGUGAAAUUGUAAUGACGGUGAAGAUGCCGUCUACCUGCGACAGGACAGAAAGACCCCGUGGAGCUUUACUGUAGCUUGACAUUGGGUUUUGGUAUUUGAUGUACAGGAUAGGUGGGAGACUGAGAAGUYCAUACGCCAGUAUGGAUGGAGUCGCCGUUGGGAUACCACCCUUUAGAUAUUGAAAUUCUAACUUUAGACCAUGAAGCUGGUCUGAGGACAGUGUCAGGUGGGCAGUUUGACUGGGGCGGUCGCCUCCCAAAAAGUAACGGAGGCGCCCAAAGGUUCCCUCAGCGCGGGCGGAAAUCGCGCGUAAGAGUGUAAAGGCAGAAGGGAGCUUGACAGCGAGACCAACAAGUCGAGCUGGUACGAAAGUAGGGCUUAGUGAUCCGGCGGUUCCGAGUGGAAGGGCCGUCGCUCAACGGAUAAAAGCUACCCCGGGAUAACAGGCUUAUCUCCCCAAGAGUCCACAUCGACGGGGAGGUUUGGCACCUCGAUGUCGGCUCAUCGCAUCCUGGGGCUGAAGUAGGUCCCAAGGGUUGGGCUGUUCGCCCAUUAAAGCGGUACGUGAGCUGGGUUCAGAACGUCGUGAGACAGUUCGGUCCCUAUCCGUCGCAGGYGCAGGAAACUUGAGAAGAGCUGUCCCUAGUACGAGAGGACCGGGAUGGACGGACCGCUGGUGUACCAGCUAUCGUGCCAACGGUAGUGCUGGGUAACUAAGUCCGGCAGGGAUAAGUGCUGAAAGCAUCUAAGCACGAAGCCCCCUUCAAGAUGAGGUUUCCCACUACGCAAGUAGGUAAGAUCCCAUGMAGACUACAUGUAGAUAGGCCGGGGGUGUAAGCGCAGYAAUGUGUUCAGCCGACCGGUACUAAUAGAUCGAGGUCUUGACCUAA
This 1959-nucleotide ribosomal RNA is filed under the name Desulforamulus profundi. RNAcentral's name for it is "bacterial LSU rRNA". It matches the Rfam family "Bacterial large subunit ribosomal RNA", at positions 977 to 2925 of the family's 2925-position model. Lineage: Bacteria; Bacillati; Bacillota; Clostridia; Eubacteriales; Peptococcaceae. The record is from RNAcentral.